AGCUCCAGGAGCGGGAGUGUCGAUGGGUUUAACGGGACCGAGUGCUGGGGCUGCGCUUGGGGCGGAACAAACCCUCGGACCGAUCCAGGCUGGGGAUGAGCAGAGGGAGAACAGCUCUGGGGAGGACUUGGGGCGUUGGUGGCUGAAAGGCUGGACAUGCCCUAGCCCUGAAACCCCUCGUGUGCUGGGCUGAUCCCCCUGCAUGGGCAGCAGGGAGGAGAGAUUCUGCCCCUAUGUCCCUGUGCUCAGGUGAGACCCACCCACCCCAGCCCUGGGGACAACAGCACAAGGACCCGGAGCUGCUGCAGAGAGCCCAGAGGAGCCUGGAGCUGCUGCAGGGCUGGAGCCCCUCUGCUGUGGAGCCAGGCUGGGAGAGCUGGGGGUGCUCACCUGGAGAGGAGAAGGAUCCAGGGAGAGCUCAGAGCCCCUGCAGGGCCUAAAGGGGCUCCAGGAGAGCUGCAGAGGGACUGGGACAAGGGCUGGAGGGACAGGACACAGGGAAUGGCUUCCACUGCCACAGGGCAGGGUUGUAUGGCAUUUUUGGAACCAAUCCUCGGGCACGCUCCCGCUCUGCCCCGCUCAGGUGCGAUCCCUCCGCAGAACCCCCGGGUGAUGACGUCACCAGCGGCCGCGCGAUCCCGGGGGCUGCCGGCCCCGCCCUUGCGCCGCCGUAAGCCCCGCCCCUCACGGCGUUCUCCGCGCUCCCAUUGGCUGCGUUCGCCUCCUCCCUCAGGGAUGGGGGUGACGUCAUCGCGGGGCGGGCAGAGCGCGGCCGCGGGCGGGGCAGGAGGCGCCCCCUGGCGGCGCAGGCGUGAGGGGGCAGAGAGCGCUGAGGGGAUUCGGGGCGGAGCGGCGCUGGAAACCAGGGAGCGCCGGAAUCGUGGAAAGGUUCGGGUGGGAAAUCAAAGCCCAUCCAGUGCCGCCCCCUGCCACAGGGAGGCAAACCUUCUUGCAAGAACCAGGCUGUGGAACCACCGGUGAAGGCACUGGAAAUGCUGGAGAUGCCUCAUCACAGGUUCUGCACAACCCAACCCUUCUCUCACGCUGAAUCCCGAGCUGUCCCAUGGGAGGACAGGCUUUUCUCCAGGGCUGCUCCAGCCAACACCACUACCAGCUGGCCAAACAGCAAGAAAAAGCCUGAGGAAUGUCAACCCAACACUGCCAACGUGAUCUCCCUGUUCCCAACGUGUGUGCCUCCAUCUGUCCCCACAGCAGCAUCCACAGAGGGAAGAGGUCCUCCCUGGGGACAGGGCUGCCUCCUGUGACCCUGGCAGCACAGGCAGGACUCUGACCAGAGGAUGUUGGUGAGCUCCAGGACGAUUUCCUGGUGACAGCGAAGGUGAGAAGGUUUUGGCAGCCAUGGAGUGCUCCUGUUACGACCUUGGUUUAGACAAAGUGAGAAUGCUCCAGGGCUGGGCCACGGCAGCGAGCUGGGAAUGGCAGCAGGACCUGGGAAUGAGGGACUGCACCGGCCCUGAGCAGAGGCUGCAGUGAGAGCAGCUCUGAGACAAUCUCAGAGGGGGCUGGGAGGGGGGAGCUGUCCCCAGUCCCACAUCAGCUGCAGCUGGGGGCUGAGCAUCCCCUCCCCAAGGGGAACAGGGCUGGCUCAGGGGGAGCUGCUGCUCCGGGGCAUGUGGGGACAGGGACACCCAGGACCUGUGUCCCCUUUAUUGGCCUUUCCCCUGGAAUGCCGCGGGGAUGGUGGUGCUGAAGGAGAUGGGAGAGGGUCCCCUGGGUGGGAGAGCAUCACCCCAGCACUGCCUGGCUCUGGCUGAUGUUGCUGCCCAGCCCAGGCAGCCAGGGAAUGCCGAGAGUCCAGGGUAGAUUGUGGGAAGGAGGUCCCAAGGUCUCAUGCCACCCUCACUGCCAGCCAAGGGUGUCUCAGUGACUGUGGGGUACAUGGGGCCACAGCCCCCCAGCUCCCCCCAGUCACCCAUAAGAGCUGAGAUUUGGGGUGGCCACAGUACGCAGGGAUGGCUGCAGUGUCCCACAGGUGACUGUGCUGUCCAGGGAUGCCCUUGGUGGCCCAGGUCUGGCUGCAGUGUCUCAAAAGUGGCCAUGGUGUCCCGGUGUUGGCUGUAGUGUCCCAGGGAUGGCUGCAGUACCCAAAGGCAACCACAUUUCCAGGGGCUGGAUACUCUCAGGGGUAUCUGUGUUGUCCUGGCAGCUGCCACAAUGCCCAAGGGAUGGCUGGGGUGUCCCAGGGUGGCUGCAGGAUGUGGGAACCCGUGGUGGGGAGGAACAGGAAAACCAAGGUCACAGGAUCCGGGAUCCCCCAGCUCUGCUGGGGCACUUUGGGACAGAUGCAGACCCCAAAUGUCAUCCCACCCUGUACGGCACCUAGACCAUGUCCCCUGCCCCAGCCAGCUCGGUGUCACCCCUGGCUCAGGAUCCAGCAAUCCCUGCAUGUGCUCAGUUCCCGUGUGCCAUCCCGUGCCAACAGCUGCACUGGGAUGUCACCAGCCGUGCCACCAGGACCCUCCAUGCACACCGUGUCCCCACAGACACCACAUCACCCCAUAGAUGCCAUAUCACCCCAUAGACACCGUGUCCCCAUAGACACCGUAUCACCCCAUAGACACCACAUCACCCCAUAGACACCGUGUCCCCAUAGAUACCAUGUCCCCAUAGACACCAUGUCCUCUUAGACACCGUGUCCCCAUACACACCAUAUCACCCCAUAGACACCACAUCACCCCAUAGACACCAUAUCACCCCAUAGACACUGUAUCACCCCAUGGACAUCGUAUCACCCUAUAGACACCGUGUCCCCAUAGAUACCAUGUCCCCAUAGACACCAUGUCCUCUUAGACACCGUGUCCCCAUACACACCAUAUCACCCCAUAGACACCAUAUCACCCCAUAGACACCAUAUCACCCCAUACACACCAUAUCACCCCACAGACACCACAUCACCCCAUAGAUGCCAUAUCACCCCAUAGACACCGUGUCCCCAUAGACACUGUAUCACCCCAUAGACACCACAUCACCCCAUAGACACCAUAUCACCCCAUAGACACUGUAUCACCCCAUAGACACCAUAUCCCUGUAGGCACCAUGCACACACCAUACCCCUCCCAUACACACAGGAGGCUCUGGACUCUGCCCUGGCUGCUCUGGGGGCUUCUGUGGGGUGGUUCCCCUAUAGUCUUCCUGCCCAGGCAUCCCAGAGCUGGCCCAGGAUGGUCACAAUGAGGGUGCACUGUCCCCUCAGCCCCACUGUCUCAGGAACAGUCCUGAGGGUCAGCCCCGAGGCCAGAAGCCGCUGGCCACCACCAGCACACUCUGGUCCUGUGCUGACACCUGUGGGCAAGGGACUGUCCUCAUGUGUCACCCUGUCCUACCUGGCACCCUGCCCCACCUGGCACUGUGUCCCUACGUGUCAUCCUGUCCGUACAUGUCACCUCAUCCUCCCUAUGUCACCGUGUCCCUACAGGUUACCCCAGCUGACAUGUCACGCUGUCCCUACAGGUCACCCCAGCUGACAUGUCACGCUGUCCUUACCCAUCACACUGUCCCCACAUGUCCCUGCUCCUGACAUGUCCCCUCUGUCUCUUUGCUGUGUCUCAUGCCCUGCCUAAACAUCCUCCUGUUCCUGUGUGUCACCCACCUGCCUGUCCCCACAGCCUGGUCCUGUGGGGGAUUUGGGGCUGGGCCACCACAGCCAGGGGCUGCCAGGGGAGCAGGGCUAUGGUGCCCCUGAACUCAUCCUUGGGGACACAGGGACAGUGCCACAGGCAGAGCCACGCAGCACCUGUGUCCCUCCCCAUGGCACAGGGCCUUGGUGGGGAGCCAGGAUGUGGAGACUGCAGUGGGGACAGGACCAUCAGUCUGUGCUGUGCCAUGGGGGCUGUCCCCUCCCAAUGGCUGUGGCCCUGACAGGGCCCAACUGCAGCAUCCUGGGAUGGAUCCUCCCCUGGGAAAGGGCAGGAAAGGAAAGGUGGCCCAGCAGUGACCCCCUCCACAGCCCCUAUUGUCCCCCCUUCCAGUUCUCUACCUCCUCCAUCUUCCCAUCACUCCCUUCCUGCCUCCCCAUAACAUCCUCCAUCCCUCCUCUGUCCCUCCAUCCCUCCUCCAUCCUCCUGUACUGUCCCCUCCAUUUGUCACCCUCCCCAUCACCUCCAUCCAUCCAUCCCCCUGCAUCAUCCCUGUCAUCCUCCCUCCACCCCCCUUCCAUCACUGCUGCAUCCCCCCUCCCACCCUACCUCCCCUGAAG
Long non-coding RNA from Prinia subflava (tawny-flanked prinia), 4216 nucleotides. RefSeq lists it as uncharacterized. Lineage: Eukaryota; Metazoa; Chordata; Aves; Passeriformes; Cisticolidae. The transcript has 3 exons. The record is from RefSeq and is a predicted model, not a curated record.